This 377-nucleotide ribosomal RNA is filed under the name Ceratophrys aurita (Brazilian horned frog). RNAcentral describes it as "partial 16S ribosomal RNA". It matches the Rfam family "Bacterial large subunit ribosomal RNA", at positions 1986 to 2515 of the family's 2925-position model. Lineage: Eukaryota; Metazoa; Chordata; Amphibia; Anura; Ceratophryidae. The record is from RNAcentral.
GACAGUAUGAAUGGCAUCACGAGGGUUAUACUGUCUCCUUUUUCUAAUCAGUGAAACUAAUCUUCCCGUGAAGAAGCGGGAAUAAAACUAUAAGACGAGAAGACCCUAUGGAGCUUUAAACAAAAUAACAAUUGCUUCUUUAUUAUUAAAUUCCAGAAAUUUAAGUAUUAUUCUAGCACUAUGAUUAUCAGUUUUAGGUUGGGGUGACCGCGGAGUAAAAAUUAACCUCCACAUUGAAAGGAUAUUUUCCUUAGCAAAAAGCUACAACUUUAUGCAUCAAUAAAUUGACAUUAAUUGACCCAAUAUUUUGAUCAACGAACCAAGUUACCCUAGGGAUAACAGCGCAAUCCACUUCAAGAGCCCCUAUCGACAAGUGG